This 492-nucleotide ribosomal RNA is filed under the name uncultured bacterium. RNAcentral's name for it is "partial 16S ribosomal RNA". It matches the Rfam family "Bacterial small subunit ribosomal RNA", at positions 29 to 507 of the family's 1533-position model. The record is from RNAcentral.
AGUGAACGCUGGCGGUAGGCCUAACACAUGCAAGUCGAACGGCAGCACAGUAAGAGCUUGCUCUUACGGGUGGCGAGUGGCGGACGGGUGAGGAAUACAUCGGAAUCUACUUUUUCGUGGGGGAUAACGUAGGGAAACUUACGCUAAUACCGCAUACGACCUACGGGUGAAAGCAGGGGAUCUUCGGACCUUGCGCGAUUGAAUGAGCCGAUGUCGGAUUAGCUAGUUGGCGGGGUAAAGGCCCACCAAGGCGACGAUCCGUAGCUGGUCUGAGAGGAUGAUCAGCCACACGGGAACUGAGCCACGGUCCAGACUCCUACGGGAGGCAGCAGUGGGGAAUAUUGGACAAUGGGCGCAAGCCUGAUCCAGCCAUACCGCGUGGGUGAAGAAGGCCUUCGGGUUGUAAAGCCCUUUUGUUGGGAAAGAAAAGCAGCAGGUUAAUACCCCGCUGUUCUGACGGUACCCAAAGAAUAAGCACCGGCUAACUUCGUG